UACGGGGGGGGCAAGCGUUGUUCGGAAUUACUGGGCGUAAAGCGCGCGUAGGCGGCUUUUCAAGUCAGACGUGAAAGCCUCAGGCUUAACCUGGGAACUGCGUUUGAUACUGUUAAGCUAGAGUGUGGAAGGGGCUACUGGAAUUCCGUGUGUAGCGGUGAAAUGCGUAGAUAUCGGGAAGAACACCCGUGGCGAAGGCGGUUCUCUGGGACGGUACUGACGCUGAGACGCGAAAGCGUGGGGAGCGAACAGG
Molecule: ribosomal RNA, 253 nt
Filed under: uncultured bacterium
Lineage: Bacteria
Description: partial 16S ribosomal RNA
Rfam family: Bacterial small subunit ribosomal RNA
Source: RNAcentral